UAAACAUUGAUAGCACAUUACACCCGCUAUCCGCCUGGGAACUACGAGCGUUAGCUUAAAACCCAAAGGACUUGGCGGUGCUUAAGAUCCACCUAGAGGAGCCUGUUCUAGAACCGAUGACCCCCGUUCAACCUCACCCUCCCUUGCUUUUCCCGCCUAUAUACCGCCGUCGUCAGCUUACCCUGUGAAGGUUCAACAGUAAGCAAAAUUGGCACAGCCCAAAACGUCAGGUCGAGGUGUAGCGUAUGAGAGGGGAAGAAAUGGGCUACAUUCCCUAACAUAGGGAAUACGGACAAUGCACUGAAACGUGCAUUUCAAGGAGGAUUUAGUAGUAAGCAGAAAAUAGAGCAUUCUGCUGAAACCGGCCCUAAAGCGCGCACACACCGCCCGUCACUCUCCCCGAGCUAAGAUUAUUUACAUAACUAAAAUACCCCACCUGCAAAGGGGAGGCAAGUCGUAACAUGGUAAGUGUACCGGAAGGUGCACUUGGAAAAAU
This 496-nucleotide ribosomal RNA is filed under the name Pristolepis fasciata (Malayan leaffish). RNAcentral's name for it is "partial 12S ribosomal RNA". It matches the Rfam family "Bacterial small subunit ribosomal RNA", at positions 803 to 1533 of the family's 1533-position model. Lineage: Eukaryota; Metazoa; Chordata; Actinopteri; Anabantiformes; Pristolepididae. The record is from RNAcentral.